This 473-nucleotide ribosomal RNA is filed under the name uncultured bacterium. Its description in RNAcentral is "bacterial SSU rRNA". It matches the Rfam family "Bacterial small subunit ribosomal RNA", at positions 373 to 849 of the family's 1533-position model. The record is from RNAcentral.
AGGCGCAGCUGAACAUCCAUGCCGCGUGCAGGAAGAAUGCCCUAUGGGUUGUAAACUGCUUUUAUUUAGGAAUAAACUCUUGUACGUGUACAAGCCUGAAGGUACUAAAUGAAUAAGCACCGGCUAACUCCGUGCCAGCAGCCGCGGUAAUACGGAGGGUGCAAGCGUUAUCCGGAUUCACUGGGUUUAAAGGGUGCGUACGUGGGUUGGUAAGUCAGUGGUGAAAUCCCCGAGCUUAACUUGGGAACUGCCAUUGAUACUAUCAAUCUUGAAUACCGUGGAGGUCAGCAGAAUAUGUCAUGUAGCGGUGAAAUGCUUAGAUAUGACAUAGAAUACCAAUUGCGAAGGCAGCUGGCUACCCGAAUAUUGACACUGAGGCACGAAAGCGUGGGGAUCAAACAGGAUUAGAUACCCUGGUAGUCCACGCCCUAAACUAUGGAUACUCGACAUAUGCGAUACACUGUAUGUGUCUG